GGGCCCGCACAAGCGGUGGAGCAUGUGGUUUAAUUCGACGCAACGCGCAGAACCUUACCAGCCCUUGACAUCCCGUGACCGGCCCAGAGAUGGGUUUUCCCCGCAAGGGGCACGGAGACAGGUGCUGCAUGGCUGUCGUCAGCUCGUGUCGUGAGAUGUUGGGUUAAGUCCCGCAACGAGCGCAACCCUUGCCUUCAGUUGCCAUCAUUUAGUUGGGCACUCUGGAGGGACUGCCGGCGGCAAGCCGGAGGAAGGUGGGGAUGACGUCAAGUCCUCAUGGCCCUUACGGGCUGGGCUACACACGUGCUACAAUGGUGGCGACAGAGGGCACAAGCGAGAGCGUAAGCUUUAGCAAAUCCUCAAAAGCCAUCUCAGUUCAGAUUGCGCUCUGCAACUCGGGCGCAUGAAGGUGGAAUCGCUAGUAAUCGCAGAACAGCAGGCUGCGGUGAAUACGUUCCCGGGCCUU
Molecule: ribosomal RNA, 466 nt
Filed under: uncultured bacterium
Lineage: Bacteria
Description: bacterial SSU rRNA
Rfam family: Bacterial small subunit ribosomal RNA
Source: RNAcentral